AUUCAAAUGUGGGUUCAAAAUGACAUGUGUGUCCUGGGGAAGCUUGUUACCCAGUGAGGGAAGCUCUGUCAACACAAAGUUCAGGGAUGUGUUGGGGACACAUGGUUUCUAACAGGAUUAUGCCUUGAACCCUCAGCUUCUACAGUUGUAUCGUCCAUGUGUCAUAUAUUUGCUCUUUCUCAUACUGGGUCAGGAAUUGGGCUAUUAAAUAGCAUCCUUCAUAAAUAUGCAAAUAACUGAGGUGAAUAUAGAGAUCUCUGUGACUGAGAGCAUCACCCAACAACCACACCCCUCCUCGAGAGAAGCCUCUAGAGCACAGCUCCUCACCAUGGACUGGACCUGGAGGAUCCUCUUCUUGGUGGCAGCGGCAACAGGUGCCCACUCCCAGGUGCAGCUGGUGGAAUCUGGGGCUGAAGUGAAGAAGCCUGGGUCCUCAGUGAAGGUCUCCUGCAAGGCUUCUGGAUACACCUUUACCAGCUACUAUAUGCACUGGGUGCGACAGGCCCCUGGACAAGGGCUUGAGUGGAUGGGAUGGAUCAACCCUUACAAUGGUAACACAAAGUACGCACAGAAGUUCCAGGGCAGAGUCACCAUAACCAGGGACACAUCCACAAGCACAGCCUACAUGGAGCUGAGCAGCCUGAGAUCUGAGGAUACAGCCGUGUAUUACUGUGCGAGAGACACAGUGUGAAAACCACAUCCUGAGAGUGUCAGAAACCCCAGG
This is a non-coding RNA of Cebus imitator (Panamanian white-faced capuchin), 724 nucleotides long. The record is from the annotation of a RefSeq genome assembly. NCBI's taxonomy places the organism in Eukaryota, Metazoa, Chordata, Mammalia, Primates, Cebidae.